AUGAACAUCAUAACAAAUUCAGAAGGCGAAGUUGUCAACACCUACAAUCCAAGCCAGGUUCUCUUCUUUGGGAACCUGGAAUUCAUUGUCGAUUCAUACCGAGAGCUUCACCUCUGUAGCCCUGCACAUUGCCAAACACAUGAGCUGGAGCUGAUUUUCAUCAACCCACCCACCUCCCAUUUCGUCGCCAACGUGGAGUCGCUUCACGACGUCCUCGGAGAGCAUGAUGUGGAGGAAGAGGAGAGCAAUGAAAGCUGCCCAGAGGCCAUCCCGGUUCGUCCAUGGCCUUGGCAGACAACUGCUUCUUACAUGGUUGACAACCACGUCAGUGGCAGGGACAACACCAAUGCCGAGGACUUCGACGACGAUGAUGCCCUAGGUGAGGAUGACCCAGCUCUACUCACAACUCCCGUGAAGGGUACCGACGAGCCUUCCAAGAAAUUCGAUUCAAGAGAACUCAUCUACGCGGAAGGUCUUUUAAGUGCAAGUUGUACCCGCACAGAAAUUUUGCGCCCUCAACUACACCAGGAUGCCUCCUGCAUUAGCAUCACAACUUCUCUCACCACGGACAGCUCGCUAGUCUUCUUGCAUCAGCCACGCCUAAUUGGCCUCACAUCCCUCACGGUCGGGUAA
This 633-nucleotide ribosomal RNA is filed under the name Triticum aestivum (bread wheat). RNAcentral describes it as "partial small subunit ribosomal RNA". The record is from RNAcentral. Lineage: Eukaryota; Viridiplantae; Streptophyta; Magnoliopsida; Poales; Poaceae.